RNAcentral lists this ribosomal RNA (1206 nucleotides) under Triticum aestivum (bread wheat). RNAcentral describes it as "bacterial SSU rRNA". The stretch from base 187 to 1206 matches the Rfam family "Bacterial small subunit ribosomal RNA", at positions 874 to 1520 of the family's 1533-position model. The record is from RNAcentral. Lineage: Eukaryota; Viridiplantae; Streptophyta; Magnoliopsida; Poales; Poaceae.
CAUAUGGUGCAGAAGGAUAAAUAAAUCAUGUUAGUAGUAAAUCAAGGAAAUGAAAUGGAACAUCGGGCGUUGGACCGCCUGAAGAAUUCCAAGAAAAAUGCCAAGCAUGUGUGUGAAUGGGAUGCCUCGAGAGGUCUUGAAACGAAAUGGCAAACGGUGCCAAGCUAACGCGUGAAACACUCUGCCUGGGGAGUACGGUCGCAAGACUGAAACUCAAAGGAAUUGUCGGGGGCCUGCCCAAGCGGUGGAGCAUGUGAUUUAAUUCGAUACAACGUGCAAAACCUUACUAGACCUUAACAUAUGAACAACAAAAUCUGUCCUUUACAGGAUGGUACUGACUUUCAUACAGGUGCUGCAUGGCUGUCAUCAGCUCGUGUCGUCAGAUGUUUUGUCAAGUCCUAUAACGAACGAAACCCUCAUUUUGUGUUGCUGAGACAUGCGCCUAAGGAGAAAUUGCCACCGACUGACGUGCCAGCGCUACUACUUGAUUGAGUGCCAGCACAUAGUUGUGCUUUCAGCAAGAAUUUCACCAUUGGGAGCCGAUGCCUUUCGAAGCACUUUCACGUGUGAACCGAAGUCAUUUUGCCCAAGACCAACGGAGACCUACCUAUAGUGACGUCAAAGUACCAGUGAGCAUGGAGGUUUGGUUGAAAUUGGUUACGAUGAUAUCGAGUUGGCGGCGGAGGAAGACUCGGCAUGAAGGAUAGAAAAUGGUGUGGAACGUAGUGGUAAUAUUACGCGCCCCGCUCCGAAAUAAAGAAAAAGGUGCGUGCCGCACUCACGAGGGACUGCCAGUGAGAUACUGGAGGAAGGUGGGGACGACGUGAAGUCCGCAUGGCCCUUAUGUGCUAGGACACACACGUGCUACAAUGGCAAUGACAAUGGGAAGCAAGGCUGUAAGGCGGAGCGAAUCCGGAAAGAUUGCCUCAGUUCAGAUUGUUCUCUACAACUCGGGAACAUGAAGUUGAAAUCGCUAGUAAUCGUGGAUCAGCAUGCCGUGGUGAAUAUGUACCCAGGCCCUGUACACACCGCCCGUCACACCCUGGGAAUUGGUUUCGCCCGAAGCAUCGGACCAAUGAUCACCCAUGACUUCUGUGUACCACUAGUGCCACAAAGGCCUUUGGUGGUCUUAUUGGCGCAUACCAUGGUGGGGUCUUCGACUGGGGUGAAGUCGUAACAAGGUAGCCGUAGGGGAACCUGUGGCUG